Long non-coding RNA from Athalia rosae (coleseed sawfly), 2002 nucleotides. RefSeq lists it as uncharacterized. The transcript is spliced from 10 exons. The record is from RefSeq and is a predicted model, not a curated record. Lineage: Eukaryota; Metazoa; Arthropoda; Insecta; Hymenoptera; Athaliidae.
UUGCGCAUAGUCCCCUAAUUUCAAAAUGGACCCCGCCACCGGAUUGAACGUGAAUCAAAUUGGCAGAGCAGAUAUCAAUUUAAACGGGUUAAUUAAUAAUAUAUUGGGACGGAUAAAGAUUAUUUAUACAGCAGUGCAUUGAGAAUAGUUUGGAAAUCAACGGUAUGGCACUGCGAGUAUAUCACGUUAUUUUGCGAAUGCUCAACCUCUACUCUAAUGAUUGAAUGACAGCUCCCAGACGAUUGCACCAGAUGAGAUUCCUAUGCGUGCUGACACUUAAUUAUACAAUUAGUAAAGUGAAUACUACUGGAAGUAAAUGUCACCAUUUUAGAGUAAUAGAAUCAAAGUGCAUCCUCAAGAGCAGAGGGGCUAGACUGACAGCCAGAACAUUGGAUUCAAUCUAGAGGAGAGUCCUAUCAUACUUGGUUGUUUUUUGAAAUAAAUACCUGAAGAGUUGAUCACUGCUAUUCGUUUCAAUCUUCCAGGUCGAACAGUAUUCGUCCCAGGGGAGACUGCAAAGUUGAAACGACAGAGUCCUUGCGGUAUACGUCAGAUGUUAUUAUUACACCUCUGCGUACUUUAACAGACAGUCAGUGCAGAUGUUUGCCGGGCCAGGUCCAGCUGCCCAACCCAAGCAUAUUGUUGCUCUACUUUUGGAAACGACAUAGAGAGUUUGAGGGGAAGAAAUCAUACUUCCUAGUACAUGUACCUACUCAAGAACUGCAGUCAUUCCAUGGACUGAGAUGCGAAUCAGUUGGAGGCUUGUGGGCCUAUACAAAGAGAAUUAUAAGCACGGGAUCCGUAAUGCGUGCAUCAACUUGCAUAGAUCUUAGACCUUUCAAGCAUACUAUUAUGCCAAUUCGGAUUCUUGAGAUCAAAAUACAUGAGGAUAGCGGGACGAACCCUUCCACAAAAAAUCUGAAUCUUCAUCUCAGAUUUUGACAAAAUUCCAAGGCUAUAGGCUUACUGUUUUUCCCGGCAAAAAAGUGGAGUAUCCCUCAGAAUGAUUCCAGGACGCUUCUCCUAUGUAGAAAAGCGUUCCGAACAAGAAGCCGCCAAUCAAAUUAAGCUGGCAGAUAUUCUGCUUGCAGAUUCGGAUUCCUGAGAUCAAAAUACAUGAGGAUAGCGGGACGAACCCUUCCACAAAAAAUCUGAAUCUUCAUCUCAGAUUUUGACAAAAUUCCAAGGCUAUAGGCUUACUGUUUUUCCCGGCAAAAAAGUGGAGUAUCCCUCAGAAUGAUUCCAGGACGCUUCUCCUAUGUAGAAAAGCGUUCCGAACAAGAAGCCGCCAAUCAAAUUAAGCUGGCAUUCGGAUUCCUGAGAUCAAAAUACAUGAGGAUAGCGGGACGAACCCUUCCACAAAAAAUCUGAAUCUUCAUCUCAGAUUUUGACAAAAUUCCAAGGCUAUAGGCUUACUGUUUUUCCCGGCAAAAAAGUGGAGUAUCCCUCAGAAUGAUUCCAGGACGCUUCUCCUAUGUAGAAAAGCGUUCGGAACAAGAAGCCGCCAAUCAAAUUAAGCUGGCAUUCGGAUUCCUGAGAUCAAAAUACAUGAGGAUAGCGGGACGAACCCUUCCACAAAAAAUCUGAAUCUUCAUCUCAGAUUUUGACAAAAUUCCAAGGCUAUAGGCUUACUGUUUUUCCCGGCAAAAAAGUGGAGUAUCCCUCAGAAUGAUUCCAGGACGCUUCUCCUAUGUAGAAAAGCGUUCGGAACAAGAAGCCGCCAAUCAAAUUAAGCUGGCAUUCGGAUUCCUGAGAUCAAAAUACAUGAGGAUAGCGGGACGAACCCUUCCACAAAAAAUCUGAAUCUUCAUCUCAGAUUUUGACAAAAUUCCAAGGCUAUAGGCUUACUGUUUUUCCCGGCAAAAAAGUGGAGUAUCCCUCAGAAUGAUUCCAGGACGCUUCUCCUAUGUAGAAAAGCGUUCGGAACAAGAAGCCGCCAAUCAAAUUAAGCUGGCAUUCGGAUUCCUGAGAUCAAAAUACAUCGGAAUAACAUAGAAAUUCU